Molecule: ribosomal RNA, 969 nt
Filed under: Triticum aestivum (bread wheat)
Lineage: Eukaryota; Viridiplantae; Streptophyta; Magnoliopsida; Poales; Poaceae
Description: partial small subunit ribosomal RNA
Source: RNAcentral
AUGUGCGUCCGGGUCAGUGGAGUAGGAGUUGAGAACCUCUUGUAUCCAGGCCGGCUGGCAUGCCGAGAGCGCGGCCAGGUCGAGCUGCUUGCCCACACGAGACAAGGCGUCGGCGGCGCCGUUGUCGAGGCCGCGCUUGUACUGGAAGCGGAAUUGGAGCCCGACCAGCUUCGCCAUGCCUUGCGCUGCAGCUCCGUCUCCAAUUUGCUCCCCCAGGUUGCAGAGCGACUUGUGGUCGGUGAGGAUGUCGAAGGGGCCGCGCUGCAAGUAAGGGCGCCACUUGUCGAUCGCCAUCAUCACCGCCAAGAACUCCUUCUCGUACGUCGAAAGCUUCUGGUUGCGCACGCCGAGAGCCUUGCUGAAGAACGCGACGGGGUGGCCCUCCUGGACGAGCACGACGCCCACGCCCAUGUCGCACGCGUCAGUCUCGAUGGAGAAGGGCUUGUCAAAGUUGGGCAGGGCGAGCAUGGGCGUCGUCGUCAUCGCCGUCUUGAGCGUUUUGAACGCGGCCUGCGCUUGCUCGUUCCAGGCAAAGCCCUUCUUCGUGAGGAGCUGUGUGAGCGGCUUGGCGAUGAUGCCGUAGUGCGGCACAAAUUUCCUGUAGUAGCCGGUGAGCCCCAGGAAGCCACGCAGCUCGGUGGCGUUCGUCGGCGUUGGCCAUUGCUCCAUGGCCUGGGUUUUUUCCUUAUCCGUAGCGACACCGUCCUUGGAGAUGACUUGCCCGAGGUAGUCGAUGUGGUCGCAGGCGAAGCUGCACUUGCUUUCUUUGACGAACAGUUGGUGCGCUUGCAGUCAUCGAGAAAGAUAAUCACACAUUUGCGCAAGUACUUACUGAAGAUCGCGUUCAUGAGGCAUUGGAAUGUCGACGGAUCGUUCGUCAGGCCGAACGGCAUGACCCUGAACUGGAAAUGCCCGUGGUGCGUCUUGAACGCGGUCUUGGCUUCGUCUUCUUCCCGCAUACGAAUUUGA